Molecule: long non-coding RNA, 3424 nt
Organism: Anguilla anguilla (European eel)
Lineage: Eukaryota; Metazoa; Chordata; Actinopteri; Anguilliformes; Anguillidae
Exons: 3
Source: RefSeq, a predicted model, not a curated record
GUUGCUGUCCGCCAGCCGGACUCUCGCCUGGAGUUCCGCCGAUUUUGCUACAUGUGGCUGCGAGCAGGGCCAGAGGAGAUGGCUGCGCAUCCUAUCCACAGACAAAACGGACAGCCAAUGUGGGCGGGUUUUACGAUGACUGCAACUGGAAGUUCAUUUAACAUCAAAGAUCCUCGCCGAGACGCAGCUUGUUACUUGAGAGGGAUGGCGAUAAUCCCACGGAUGUAAACUAACAAAGAAAUCAUGGGAAUUUCGUUACGACAGAACAGCGUGCUACAGCCGGGUACACAGCACUGUUAUGAGGCUCCCGCGGUGUUAUACAAGCUUCAGAAAGAACAAAUUUGUUAUCCUACACCCGAGGGCAUCUGCUGACGGAUGUUUUCUUCUGAGUGGACGUGAGGAAGCGAGUAUUCAACAGAAGGUGGUGAAACUCAGACGAAUACGUCAUAGGCCAAGCAUUGCUCAGCAACACACCUAUCAGCUUUUGAGCAAUAAAAAGUCUGGGCGGAUCACGCACGGAGGUGAAUCAAGGCUGUUUCGAGAAGCCGCAUGCCUGGGCAGGUGUACUGACGAAUAGGAAACGACAGCCCAGGACAAAUGAAUGCCUGAGCGCGCAUGAAAGUAAUUACAGCAUAAAUAAUAUUCAUGAUUCUUGUGUAAAUUAUUAUCAACAUCAAGUCGUCAUAAAUGAUAUUCACAUUUCCCAGGCAUUGUCACGAGAUGUACUCUUUAUUGUAACUCAAAGUCGCCAACCAUUCGGCUUGUGGUUGCCAGCAGACUCUAGGUGACAGUUUGUUUUGCACCCUGGCCUAGAUUUCUUUGCCUUUUUAUAUAUGGAUAUAUGUUCUAAGAAAAGGCAAAGCACUGCUUGUAUUCAGAUGUUGAGGCAAUGGAUUUUAUUUUAAAUGUGCAUUUGAUGCCACGACACGUAGCAGAAUAGUCAAAACCAAACUCGAAUUGCCCUUCUUACAGUCUAUAAUAAUGCUUAAUUUAGGGGGCAUUUCAAAACUCCAUAUUAUUAAAAUCAUGGUGCCGUAUCAAUUACAGUAUAGGUCUAGCAGAGUCUUGGGUUCAAAUCUUGUGAGGGACAUUGCUGUUAUACCCUUGAGACAGGUAUUUAACCUGAAUUAAUUCACUAUCCAGCCGUAUAAAUAAUAUGCAAUAAUAUCUAAGCUUUGUAAGUCACCAAGGGUAAGGACAUAUCCUAAGCAAGUAAAUAGAUUUAUGCACGUCUUACUUAAUCACAUGCAAAGUAGAGUGUGUCUGUGCUUUGGCUUGAGUCUCUGCAUUGUGAAAUGAAGAUGUCAUUCCUGUUCAGUCUCUCCUGGCUGUGCAAUAAGAUUUACUGCUGUAUCCAUGAAUGAUUUUUGGCAGCAGAUACUACACUCCUUGAAAGGUGUGUUUUUGUCAAAACACCAGCCUUGUACUCAUAUUGACUCAACUUGUGUCAAGCAUGUUGAUUCAGAUUAUAUCUACAAGAAAAUGUCACGAAAACUGAUUGGCUCGAAUGAUAUUCUGUUAUUUUGCUGUUUUAUAGCGGGGAAAAUAAAUGUUUAAAUGCAGAGGGAAGUGAAUUUAUGUAUGCUGUGGCAUGCCGAAUUAGCAAAUUUUGCAUCUGGAAAUAAUUUAUGACCAUACUGACUUUAUUUCUGAACGGUGGAAAUAUGCAAGUUCAACAAACAAAUCAUCUAUAUACAGUUAAACUCCUGCACAUUGUAUUUGAAAUAAAACAAUGAAUAUGAGAUUAAAGUGCAGACUGCCAGCUUUAAUUUGAGGCUAUUACCUCCAUAUUGGGUGAUUAGAAAUUGUAGCCUUUUUUAAACAUAUUAUAAAAGUAACGAGACAAAUUAACAUUUUGACAUACCAUAUGUUUUUGCUAUGUCCCUUAUUAGUUUAUUAUUUUCAGAUUUUCCAUUUUCAGCUUCAUGAUGGCCUGCUUUACUGGAAUUAACACUUAUUUGGUCUUCGUGUUGAGAGACAUCAGCAACGGACACAAUGUGCUAAUUCAACACCUAGAAUCAACUCUAGACAUUUUGUUAGCUUCCUUGUGCAUGAAAUAAUGAUGCAGAGACACACACUAGCAAAGAAACUGCUGAGCAGCCAACAGUCCCAUUACUUUUUCUCCCCUUUAAUGGGGGACUAUGUACAAAAAGGGCUUUAUUUCCUACUCAGAUGCACCCAAUUUGGUUGUAAGCACCCUCAGAUUAGAGCUCAUAGCCUGCACUUUAAACUCAUAGUCUUUGUUUUAAUUCAUAUGCAGUGCGCUGGAGUACAGAGCCAAGACAACAAAAAUCCUGUCACUGUCCCAAUACGUCUGCAUUUAACUGUGUAUGUCUAAACCACAACCCGUGCAGCCCAUACACAGGGGAGAGAUCACACUACAGGGAUCAAGAAGAGUCACCUGUUAUCCACUCUAUAGUUCAACCGUCAAUCCUCAGGAGCAAACAUUCUUUUGAUGGGUACAAGCAUCACAAUCGAACAAGGUUUACUUAACCACUGCUGUGAUCCGUAUCCUGUAAAUACAGGCACAACCCUCAGGAGAGAGACUGAGACUGCCCUCCCAGUGGCUUACAUGGUGUGCUUAUGCAGAGCACUAGUUCAUGCAAUCAAUUAAGGGAUUUUGUCUGGGGAGAAUUUGAUUAAGUGAAUAUGCACGUUCAUGUUAAAUAAUCAGCAUAAAAAUUUCAUUCACAAGGGCAUACUGGUGCCCUGUUCCUUGCAGUUGCUGAAAUUAAUGUGUUGCCUAUAAAUAAUAAUAAUAAAAACAUUUUGUCACUCAAUGUAAGGAUGAAGUGCCUACAUGGUUAGAUUGAAUGAGUGAUAUAUGUUUUCCACAGUCAUAUGUGGUGAUUUAGUAUUUUAUCUAUCAUUUAAUAUUGCAGGUCUGUUACAGCUGAUUGUAUAUCCGACUAAAAUUUUUCACUACACAAAUUUAGCAAGACUGGAAAGUGUUGCAACAACUCUGCUAUGCUGCCUCCAUUCAAAGUCAUUUCCGGAUGUCACUUAUUGACUCUGUAUUAUGUAUGAGGAAUUAAAACAUUGCUCUUGGGCAAUUCUCAAGGACUGAAGAAACUGUGGUAACAAUGUGUUAAAGGAUGGGACUCCAGGCAUCCCUCAGGAAUGUGCAGGAUGUGAAAUAUUUGCACAUUUCCCCCCACAGAAAGCCACAUUUGUAUUUUAUGCUCAUAUAUUGAGGUUCCAUCUUGAGUACGUUUGAUACAAAUGAUAGCCAAACUUACCAGUUGUACUCAUCCAUUCAAUUUAGCUGGCCUUUUUCUCAUCUCCACUUCAGAAUCAAAAUGUGCCUUAAAAAGGGCAAAUGUUAAAACAUAGUACUUGCAGUAUGUGACAGCUGAAUGCUGGGAGGUACGGUCUACUUAGAACCAAUCAGCAGUGGUGAGACUUUGGCGUUUCAUAUGGAUAU